GAAUUUAAAAUUUUAUUAUAAAUAAAAAUUAUUAUUAUUAUUAAUAAAAAUAUUUUAUUUUUUAUUAUUUAAGAAGAAAAAAUAUAUUUUAAUUAUAGUUUAAAGUAUUGUGAAAGAAAGAUAUGAAAUAGUUCAAAGAAAAAUUUAAUUUUUGUACCUUGUGUAUCAGGGUUAAUUAAAAAAUAAAUUAAAAUUAAUUAUUCUCGAAUUUAAAAGAGCUAAUUAAUUAUAUAUUUUAUUGUAAAAUAAAUAUUUAAAAUAAUUAAUUAGAAAUGAAACGUUAUUCGUUUUUAAAUAUAUCUAGUUUUUAAAGAAAUAAAUUUAAUUUAUUUAUUAAUAAUUAAAAAUUUAAUUUUUUAAUUUUUUAUUAUUAAUAUUUAAUUUUAUUAGGGAUAAGCUUAAUAAAAAAUUUUUAUAAUAGAUUAAAUAUAAAAUAAUUUUUAAGAUUAAAAAUUUCUAUAAAUAAAAGUUUGUUAUAAUUAAUUAUUUAUUAAAAUAAUAUUUAUAUUUUAUUUAAAUUAUUUAUUUAAAUUUAAAUUAAAAUUUAUAAAAUUUAGUAAUUAUGAUUAUAUUAGUAUAGAUUUUUUUUUGUUUUAAAUUAAUAUUAAUUUAAGGUUAAUUUAAGGAACUCGGCAAAAUUAUUUUUCACCUGUUUAUUAAAAACAUGUCCUUUUGAUUAUAAUUUAAGGUCUGAUCUGCCCACUGAGAAUUUAAAUGGCCGCGGUAUUUUGACCGUGCAAAGGUAGCAUAAUCAUUAGUUUCUUAAUUAGGAGCUGGAAUGAACGAUUUGAUGAGAAAAUGACUGUCUCAAAUUAAUUUAUUUAGAAUUUUAUUUUUAAGUUAAAAAGCUUAAAUUUAUUUAAAAGACGAGAAGACCCUAUAGAGUUUAAUUUAAUUAAAAAAUAAUUAAUUAUUGAUUAAAAACUUUUUAUUUUUUAAUUAAAUUCUUGUUGGGGCGAUAAAAAAAUUAAAUAAACUUUUUUUAUAUUA
Molecule: ribosomal RNA, 990 nt
Filed under: Scrobiger albocinctus
Lineage: Eukaryota; Metazoa; Arthropoda; Insecta; Coleoptera; Cleridae
Description: partial 16S ribosomal RNA
Source: RNAcentral